CAGCGCAGGCAUCGGGCGGGCCGUGUGCCACAGUUCUCUGCGAUGGGGGGAGAAAGGGAGGGGUGGGCACUGAGGAGGACUGACCCCUGCAGAAAGGAACAAGGGGACACGGGACAGGAAGGGGAUUCGCUCAAAUUCCAGCCUAUCCAUGGAUACAGGAAGCAGGGGAUGGAGAGGAGAAAGAGGGGAGCCGGGGUCCACCAACAGCCAGUGCAAAAAAAAAAAAAAAAAAACCCUGAACCACUCAUUAGGCAUUUCACCACCUGCCUGCACACCCAACCUUGCGUGCAAACACAACUACCUGAGCACAAACGCACGCGCACAGCUAACAAACUCCAAACCGCAGAGUGCUGCUUCUUUUUUUCGUUUUCUCGCUGCCUUUUCUCUUUCCAGUUUCCCCGGAUUUGAUUUUUAAUAUUAAUUAUGACAGUAAUGAUAACUAACAUUUUCUGAGAACUUGCUCUGUGCCAGGCAUUGAGGCACUAUCUCAUUUAAUUCUGAGAACAAUCUUAGAAGCUAGGAAAUGUGAUGAUCCUAUUGGAAAGGUAAAACUCACAAAAGAUAAGUGGCUCACCCAGGAUCACACAGCUAAUAAGAGGCAGAGUGCCUGGUGCCGGGGCUCACGCCUGUAAUCCCAGCACUUUGGAAGGCAGACGUGGGAGGAUCACUUGAGCUCAGGAGUUCAAUACCAGCCUGGCCAACAUAGCAAGACCUACCAAAAAACUUUUUAAAAAAAUUAUCCAGGUGUGGUGGCACAAGCCUAUAGUCCCAGCUACUUGGGAGGCUGAGGCAAGAGGAUCACUUGAGCCCAGGAAGUCGAGGUUGCAGUGAGCUAUGAUUGUGCCACUGCACUCCAGCCUGGGCAGCAGAGCAAGACCCUAUCUCAAAAAUAAAAAUAAAAAAUAAAAGAGACAGAGUGGUGAUUUGAAUCCAGAGACUAAAGCCUCAACCCCUAUAACUAAUCUGCUUCUCACUAAUAAACAAUGAAGAGCAAUAAUAUACUUCACAUGAAUGCAGUACUUUUCAUUUGAUGAUUGCAACAGCCCAGAGUGCUAUUAUUUAUCCCCAUUUAUCAAAUGAGGAAACUGAGGCUCCACAGGGAAAGUGAUUCAAAGUCAUCUAGCUAAUAAACAGUGACAGCAGAACUUAGCCUUGGGUUUGCUUACUUAAAGUCUAGAUUUCCCCUGCCCAGAAACAGGGGCAGUGGUUGGUGACUUAUUGUGACUGAGGCUAGGUCUCACAGUUCCUAAGAAUUGGAUGGGAGGUGGGGGGCAACUUUUGUCCAAGUUUCACAUUAACUUCUGGCCCCAGAUUCCUAGGGAGAGACCAGUCCAUCAGCAGGGGCCUCUCCAGCUGUACAGCUGAAUUGCCAUUUCUGGGCUGUGGGAAUUCUUCCUUGGUUCAUUAAAACUGACAGACCAAUCUCAGACACAUUUCCUUGGGCUAUAACCAGCUGGAGGCAGGUGGAGCCACCUUUGACUCUUAACAGUAGGAAAUCACUAGAAAUGGUGGUGACUGCCUGAGAAGCCCUUCAUGGCUUCCAUUUGGAGCAGAUCCAGCUCCUGGCUCCUACAAACCUAGAGGGAGCCAUGCCUUUCUUCUCACAUUUCAGUUUGAUCUUACAUCUUCCUUAAGAGACACAGAAGCAGAAAUCGUUAACUUCUCUUUUUCUUCACCAGAAGAAGCGCCUUAAAAUAGAUUUAUGCAAAUCCCACAACCUUUUCUGUAUUAACAUGUGAAAAACAGAGGAAGAAAGAAGAUCCCAGGUCACUUGGUACUUUAAACAACAACCACCAUAUAUAACCAAGGCUCACCAUGUUGCUGGCAGAGCCCAUCUCACUCCUUGGUAAGUUUGUGAACUCUAACGGGCUAUAUGUAUGCGAGAUGUAGUUUAAUUUAAAAAUUUCUGGGACAGAACAAAACAUGCUGCUGACCUACAGUAGAAUUAUUCUUCUAAACCAAAUGAAAGAAUAUUAGCAGUUAUACCUAUUUGAUUUUCAGUGCUAUGUGACCUGAAAUAGUUGGUCAGCUACAAGUGAAAUCUCAGCCACAAACAUUCCCCCAGGAAACCUUCCUUCACCCUCUUCACCCUAGCCCAGCAGAGCUGGUGGUUCCUUCCCUUCUGCCCCCACAGCACCCAUCCCUUGUUCUUGAGCUUCAUCUCUGUCUUGCAAACUUCUCUUCAUUAUAUUCCCCCUUUACCUUGAGAAUGGGGACUGUGUCUUCCCUUUCUUAUAGGCUUGGCCCCUGAUGCCAAGGUCUGCACCGCGGUGACUUAGCAGACACUUUCUGAAGGGAUUACUAAAUGAGGAAUUAUUUCAUGGCAGGGAGGAAAUCUGUCUUACCUUUAUCCAAAGAGCCAACCAUGAAGGAUCAGAGGCCUCAGUGAGCACCUGGUUAGUGCCCCUCCAUCCACAAAUGAGGAAACUGAGGCUCAGGGUGGUGAGAGAACUUUCACAUUUUACUGGGUGAGUUAAUGACAGAGUUGGAACUAGAGGCCAGGCCUCUGCCCAUUCCCCAUCACCGUGUGAGUUCAAGUUCUCAGUUAAAGAAGGAGUAACAAAAGUGUGGAAAUGUUACACAAUCUGAGGUAUGAUUCUGCAGGAUUGACUGUGGCAACCAGAAGUGUCAGAGACUUGCUGAAUCAUUGCCCACUUUCUUAUAUAGCACAAUAACUUUUCCCCCAGCUAACCAGCGGUGUUUCCUGUAUCCCAGGUGGAGAAAUAAUACACCUUAAAUAGACACGUGUUAUUUCACAAUCUUUGAAGGGAAGACAAAGGACAUUUCUGAACUCUUGAGCACUAAGAAGUAUGACUCCCACUCUGUUGGGUCAUGGCCACUCUCAGACAUCACCUGUGAGCACUGGAAACCCCACUGGCAGCCCUUGACAGUUGACAGAGUUCAUGAGAUCGAAGCAAGAGAGAGAGAGAAAAACCUUAGGCUCUAGAGAGUUUGUAGACUUCCAGCAAGGACAACGCAUGCGCAAGACCGCAAGCCCGGAGCAUCUGAGAGCAGCAGAACAGGGCCACGCGAAAACCUCCUUCAGAUCUACUAGAAAGCUCCUUCCUUGGCAUUUGGGAGAAGAGUGGGUCAUAAUAAAAUGUCCAGUUUCUUUGGAAAAGUUAUAUUCCAGUCUCAAACUAUUACCUUUUGAAAGGACAUUUAUUAGAGUUUUUCCUCAUUAUAAAAGUAAUAUGUGUUCAUUGUAGACUCUUUGGACAGCAUGGGAAAGUAUAAAGAAGACAUAUAAAAACCAUAUUUUGGUGUAUUUCCUUUAUACUAACAUUCCUGGGCAUAUUUAGAAAUAUCAAUUUUUCUCUUAACAAAAUCAGGAUUAUGCCAUGUAUACAGUUUUUUGUUGUUGUUGUGGUUGUUGUUUGUUUUGAGACAAAGUCUUGCUCUGUUGCCCAGGCUGGAGUGCAGUGGUGCGAUCUCAGUUCACUGCAACCUCCGCCUCCCAGGUUUGAGUGAUUCUCCUGCCUCAGCCUCCCAAGUAGCUGGGAUUACAGGCAUGCGCCACCAUGCCCAGUUUUUUGUUGUUUUUUCUUUGUUUUUUGAGACGAAGUCUCUCUCUGUUGCCCAGGCUGGAGUGUAGUAGCAUAACCUCAGCUCACUGCAACCUCUGCCUCUCAGGUUCAACUGAUUCUCCUGCCUCAGCCUCCCGAGUAGCUGGGACUACAGGCGCAUGCCACUGCCUAAUUUUUGUAUUUUUAAUAGAGAAGGGGUAUCACCACGUUAGCCAGGCUGGUCUCCAACUCCCGACCUCAAGUGGUCCGCCCUCCUUGGCCUCCCAAAGUGCUGGGAUUACAGGCGUGAGCCACCACGCUCAGCCUCCAUGUAUACAGUUCUGCAUCCUGCUCUUUUCAUGCAACAUUCUAUGAGAAGUUUUUUCACAUUCCAGACCAUUAAUAGCUGAAAGUUUAUUCUGAGGCUGCACUGGGUCUCCAGCUUGUACAAAUGAAGAAGGACAGAAGUAGCAGGUGGGUGCCUCCCCUUAAACUCAAUGGGCAGUGCCUCUGCCCUUUCUGAUCUUACAGCUUGGUGCUCGGCACCAACGGCACUCCGUGUCCUCAGCUGACAGCCUGGAAUCGUCUUUUCUGUUCACCCUAUAGUCUCACCACACACACACAGGCCAUUUGGAGCCUGGCUACUUGAGCUCAGCAAGGGGCCUCUUGCCCUUUUCUAAUCAGUCAGCUUAAGUGUUCCCUCAAAUACAUUCAGAUUGUUUGUUUGUUUUCCCUAAUAUUCAAACCACUUAUUUUAACUAAGCAAACUCGAAGCAUAUUGGACAACCAGAAAACUCAUGGCAUUUGGGAGAAGAGUGGGUCAUAAUAAAAUGUCCAGUUCUGGGAGUGAGGUUGUCUUUUUGGUCACCUGGAAGUAAGCUGGCAUCUGAUCUAAUGUUUAUAUUUUUGUGUAUGUCACUCUCUCUUUGUGUAUGUGUCUACGGAGAUAUUGCUGGAUAUGUCAAUAUAUGGAUAUACCAGACAUAAAUAUAGUUACAAACAAAUAUAUGGCAAAAAAGUCACUGUAGUUCAGCUUAAAAUCCUCACUUUUCACAUCAUUGUCUGACUAUUAAAUUUGUAUGUAAACAAAGCAAAGAAAAUUAUGUUUUCCUCAUUUUCUUUUAAAAUGGUUAUAAAUAUCACUGGGAAAGCAUUAUCAAUUGUUAUAAAUCAUUAAGAGGCAGCAGUAGCACAGUGUACAAGCUCUGGAACUAGGCCACUAGAGUUCGAAUCCCAUCCCUCUUACAAUUUACCAGCUACAUGACCUUGGGUAAAUUACUUAACCUCUCUAUGCCUCAGUCUGUUCAUCUGCAAAUGGGACUAAGAAUCAUUCCUAUCUCAUAGGAUUACUAUUAGGAUUAAAUUAAUUAAUUACUUAAAACAGUGGCUGCUACAUACUAGGUGCUCUUUAAAUGUAAGAUGUUAUUUUCAGUGGUGUCUUUGUAAAGAUUAAUGACUAGCUUCCAUCUUAAAUUGUUCAUAUUUUUCACAUUUGCUUUAAAAAACACAAGGUGAGGGCGGUGGGGGAGUGAAGAUGCUCAAUGGAUGCAAAAAAAUAGAAAGAAUGAAAAAGACCUAGUAUUUGAUAGCACAACGAGGAGACUAUAGUUAGUAAUAAUUUAACUGUACGUUUAAAAAUAACCAAAAGAGUGUAAUUGGGUUGUUUGUAACACAAAGAAUAAAUGUUUGAGGGGAUGCAUACCCCA
Molecule: long non-coding RNA, 5212 nt
Organism: Symphalangus syndactylus (siamang)
Lineage: Eukaryota; Metazoa; Chordata; Mammalia; Primates; Hylobatidae
Source: RefSeq, a predicted model, not a curated record